GCCAGCAGCCAUAUCACCCUGCAACUCACACCUGACACAUCACUGAAACUAAGAAGGUGUGAGCCUGGUCAGUACCUGGAUGGGAGACCUCCUGGGAAAAACUAAGGUUGCUGCUGGAA
This is a ribosomal RNA of Lepisosteus oculatus (spotted gar), 119 nucleotides long. The record is from Ensembl. NCBI's taxonomy places the organism in Eukaryota, Metazoa, Chordata, Actinopteri, Semionotiformes, Lepisosteidae.